AGGAGGAGGCUACCGAGAUUAAUACUCUUGGAUAGUGGACGUUACUCGCAGAAUAAGCACCGGCUAACUCUGUGCCAGCAGCCGCGGUAAUACAGAGGGUGCAAGCGUUAAUCGGAUUUACUGGGCGUAAAGCGCGCGUAGGUGGCCAAUUAAGUCAAAUGUGAAAUCCCCGAGCUUAACUUGGGAAUUGCAUUCGAUACUGGUUGGCUAGAGUAUGGGAGAGGAUGGUAGAAUUCCAGGUGUAGCGGUGAAAUGCGUAGAGAUCUGGAGGAAUACCGAUGGCGAAGGCAGCCAUCUGGCCUAAUACUGACACUGAGGUGCGAAAGCAUGGGGAGCAAACAGGAUUAGAUACCCUGGUAGUCCAUGCCGUAAACGAUGUCUACUAGCCGUUGGGGCCUUUGAGGCUUUAGUGGCGCAGCUAACGCGAUAAGUAGACCGCCUGGGGAGUACGGUCGCAAGACUAAAACUCAAAUGAAUUGACGGGGGCCCGCACAAGCGGUGGAGCAUGUGGUUUAAUUCGAUGCAACGCGAAGAACCUUACCUGGUCUUGACAUAGUAAGAACUUUCCAGAGAUGGAUUGGUGCCUUCGGGAACUUACAUACAGGUGCUGCAUGGCUGUCGUCAGCUCGUGUCGUGAGAUGUUGGGUUAAGUCCCGCAACGAGCGCAACCCUUUUCCUUAUUUGCCAGCGGGUUAAGCCGGGAACUUUAAGGAUACUGCCAGUGACAAACUGGAGGAAGGCGGGGACGACGUCAAGUCAUCAUGGCCCUUACGACCAGGGCUACACACGUGCUACAAUGGUCGGUACAAAGGGUUGCUACCUCGCGAGAGGAUGCUAAUCUCAAAAAGCCGAUCGUAGUCCGGAUUGGAGUCUGCAACUCGACUCCAUGAAGUCGGAAUCGCUAGU
Molecule: ribosomal RNA, 906 nt
Filed under: Acinetobacter lwoffii
Lineage: Bacteria; Pseudomonadati; Pseudomonadota; Gammaproteobacteria; Moraxellales; Moraxellaceae
Description: bacterial SSU rRNA
Rfam family: Bacterial small subunit ribosomal RNA
Source: RNAcentral